Molecule: long non-coding RNA, 2398 nt
Organism: Oncorhynchus keta (chum salmon)
Lineage: Eukaryota; Metazoa; Chordata; Actinopteri; Salmoniformes; Salmonidae
Exons: 8
Source: RefSeq, a predicted model, not a curated record
GGUGUUGUACAGGCAUGGGUGCGGGGGUCAUGGGAACAGGGUUCCAGGCCGUGGUGCUGGUCAUGGUCUUGCUCUGCCAGUUGUGUCCCCCAGUUAGUCUCUUCUCUCCAGACUGGCUCCACUGCAUGUCUGGCCUGAACACCGGGGCACACAGAGACAAAAUGCACCGUGCAAAAACACCACACUCGUUAAUCAACUGUCACUAUAUCAUAUUUGUGACAAUCCGACGCCAACGGUUAUAAACAGAUAUAAAGGCAUGUCUAAUAACAUCGGUAAUAUAUUGCAGCUAAAGCUCUUCACUAGGUCUCACUGUGUCCUCUGAGGGGUAAAGCUCUUCACUAGGUCUCACUGUGUCCUCUGAGGGGUAAAGCUCUUCACUAGGUCUCACUGUGUCCUCUGAGGGGUAAAGCUCUUCACUAGGUCUCACUGUGUCGUCGCUGAGGGGUAAAGCUCUUCACUAGGUCUCACUGUGUCGUCGCUGAGGGGUAAAGCUCUUCACUAGGUCUCACUGUGUCGUCGCUGAGGGGUAAAGCUCUUCACUAGGUCUCACUGUGUCGUCGCUGAGGGGUAAAGCUCUUCACUAGGUCUCACUGUGUCGUCGCUGAGGGGUAAAGCUCUUCACUAGGUCUCACUGUGUCGUCGCUGAGGGACAAAGCUCUUCACUAGGUCUCACUGUGUCGUCGCUGAGGGACAAAGCUCUUCACUAGGUCUCACUGUGUCGUCGCUGAGGGACAAAGCUCUUCACUAGGUCUCACUGUGUCGUCGCUGAGGGACAAAGCUCUUCACUAGGUCUCACUGUGUCGUCGCUGAGGGACAAAGCUCUUCACUAGGUCUCACUGUGUCGUCGCUGAGGGACAAAGCUCUUCACUAGGUCUCACUGUGUCGUCGCUGAGGGGUAAAGCUCUUCACUAGGUCUCACUGUGUCGUCUCUGAUGGGUAAAGCUCUUCACUAGGUCUCACUGUGUCGUCGCUGAGGGGUAAAGCUCUUCACUAGGUCUCACUGUGUCGUCGCUGAGGGGUAAAGCUCUUCACUAGGUCUCACUGUGUCGUCGCUGAGGGGUAAAGCUCUUCACUAGGUCUCACUGUGUCGUCGCUGAGGGGUAAAGCUCUUCACUAGGUCUCACUGUGUCGUCGCUGAGGGGUAAAGCUCUUCACUAGGUCUCACUGUGUCGUCGCUGAGGGACAAAGCUCUUCACUAGGUCUCACUGUGUCGUCGCUGAGGGGUAAAGCUCUUCACUAGGUCUCACUGUGUCGUCGCUGAGGGACAAAGCUCUUCACUAGGUCUCACUGUGUCGUCGCUGAGGGGUAAAGCUCUUCACUAGGUCUCACUGUGUCGUCGCUGAGGGGUAAAGCUCUUCACUAGGUCUCACUGUGUCGUCGCUGAGGGACAAAGCUCUUCACUAGGUCUCACUGUGUCGUCGCUGAGGGGUAAAGCUGCUUUAGUUUCUGUUUAGUUUCCAACGUAUCUGAGUAGCACAGAAGCUCUGGAGAUGGGUGGGUCCUAACACAGGUCUGUGGGAUGGCAGUCCGUCUCGGGAAAACACUGCAGUGGUCUGUCCCAAAAGGACAUUUACAUGCUACGUAGCAAACUAUCCAGAGUGUUGAUUAACGCUAUGUUUCUACCACAUGAUGGUUUUGUAAUUAAAAACACUCAGAUGUCAAAACUAUUUUAGUGGCUUUUCUUGGUGUACCCCCUUUUCUCCACAAUUUCGUGAAAUCCAAUUGGUAGUUACAGUCUUUUGACCAGGAGUCUAAGUUUACAGACUUGUCCCCUACGGACUCGGGAGAGGUGAAGGUCGAGAGCCAUGCGUCCUCCUAAACACGAACCCACCAAGCCGCACUACUCGCUUAACCUGGAAGCCAGUCGCACCAAUGUGUCGUUGGAAACACCGUACAUCUGGCGACCGAAAUCAGCUUGCAGGCGACCGGCCCGCCACAAGGAGUCGCGAGAGUGUGGCCGGUGGCCGGUCAAACCCUCUCCUAACCCGGACGACGCUGGGCCAAACCCUCUCCUAACCCGGACGACGCUGGGCCAAAACCUCUCCUAACCCGGACGACGCUGGGCCAAACCCUCUCCUAACCCGGACGACGCUGGGCCAAUUAUCCACCGCCUCAUGGGUCUCCCGGUCACGGCCGGCUGUGACACAGCCUGGGAUCGAACCCGGGGCUGUAGUGAAGGCUCAAUGACAGCAAUGCAGCGCCUUAGACCACUGCGCCACUCAGGAGGCCAAGACUAUCACUUAUUUUAGUAAUGUGUUUUAUGUCGAGAAGCAGUCUACUGUGUGUUAUCAGCACUGCCUGCCUGGGACUGGAGUACAGUAGGAUGGCAGACCGCCAUAGCCCUCUAUUGUCUAGGGAAAACGCUGCAGUAGUCUGGCUCUACAUCACAUCCACACAC